This 353-nucleotide unclassified non-coding RNA is filed under the name soil metagenome. Its description in RNAcentral is "partial contains 5.8S ribosomal RNA, internal transcribed spacer 2, and large subunit ribosomal RNA". The stretch from base 1 to 120 matches the Rfam family "5.8S ribosomal RNA", at positions 35 to 154 of the family's 154-position model. The record is from RNAcentral.
GAUGAAGAACGUAGCGAAAUGCGAUAAGUAAUGUGAAUUGCAGAAUUCAGUGAAUCUUCGAAUCUUUGAACGCACAUUGCGCCCGCCAGUAUUCUGGCGGGCAUGCCUGUUCGAGCGUCAUUACAACCCUCAGGCCCCCGGGCCUGGCGUUGGGGAUCGGCGGAAGCCCCCUGCGGGCACAACGCCGUCCCCCAAAUACAGUGGCGGUCCCGCCGCAGCUUCCAUUGCGUAGUAGCUAACACCUCGCAACUGGAGAGCGGCGCGGCCACGCCGUAAAACACCCAACUUCUGAAUGUUGACCUCGAAUCAGGUAGGAAUACCCGCUGAACUUAAGCAUAUCAAUAAGCGGAGGA